This 490-nucleotide ribosomal RNA is filed under the name uncultured bacterium. Its description in RNAcentral is "partial 16S ribosomal RNA". It matches the Rfam family "Bacterial small subunit ribosomal RNA", at positions 30 to 507 of the family's 1533-position model. The record is from RNAcentral.
AUUGAACGCUGGCGGCAGGCCUAACACAUGCAAGUCGAACGGUAACAGGAAACAGCUUGCUGUUUCGCUGACGAGUGGCGGACGGGUGAGUAAUGUCUGGGAAACUGCCUGAUGGAGGGGGAUAAUUACUGGAAACGGUAGCUAAUACCGCAUAACGUCGCAAGACCAAAGAGGGGGACCUUCGGGCCUCUUGCCAUCGGAUGUGCCCAGAUGGGAUUAGCUAGUAGGUGGGGUAACGGCUCACCUAGGCGACGAUCCCUAGCUGGUCUGAGAGGAUGACCAGCCACACUGGAACUGAGACACGGUCCAGACUCCUACGGGAGGCAGCAGUGGGGAAUAUUGCACAAUGGGCGCAAGCCUGAUGCAGCCAUGCCGCGUGUAUGAAGAAGGCCUUCGGGUUGUAAAGUACUUUCAGCGGGGAGGAAGGGAGUAAAGUUAAUACCUUUGCUCAUUGACGUUACCCGCAGAAGAAGCACCGGCUAACUCCGUG